CACGGGGGGAGCAAGCGUUGUUCGGAAUCACUGGGCGUAAAGGGCGUGUAGGCGGUCAGGUUAGUGAGAUGUGAAACGCCCCGGCUCACCCGGGGACCUGCAUCUCAAACUGCCUGGCUUGAGUAUGGGAGAGGAUGAGGGAAUUCCUGGUGUAGCGGUGAAAUGCGUAGAUAUCAGGAGGAACACCGGUGGCGAAGGCGCACAUCUGGCCCGAUACUGACGCUGAGGCGCGAAAGCUAGGGGAGCAAACGGG
Molecule: ribosomal RNA, 253 nt
Filed under: uncultured bacterium
Lineage: Bacteria
Description: partial 16S ribosomal RNA
Rfam family: Bacterial small subunit ribosomal RNA
Source: RNAcentral